This 100-nucleotide microRNA precursor is filed under the name Glycine max (soybean). RNAcentral describes it as "miR403b stem-loop (gma-MIR403b)". Its record names the gene gma-MIR403b. Lineage: Eukaryota; Viridiplantae; Streptophyta; Magnoliopsida; Fabales; Fabaceae. The record is from miRBase by way of RNAcentral.
GAGACAGAGGCAAAUCGCAGGUUCGUGCGUGAAUCUAAUCAAAGUUUCUCAUUAACUUCUGCGUUAGAUUCACGCACAAACUUGUCAUUUCCCUUUUCUU